UGGGGAAUAUUGGACAAUGGGCGAAAGCCUGAUCCAGCCAUGCCGCGUGAGUGAUGAAGGCCCUAGGGUUGUAAAGCUCUUUUGUGCGGGAAGAUAGUGACGGUACCGCAAGAAUAAGCCCCGGCUAACUUCGUGCCAGCAGCCGCGGUAAUACGAAGGGGGCUAGCGUUGCUCGGAAUCACUGGGCGUAAAGGGUGCGUAGGCGGGUUUCUAAGUCAGAGGUGAAAGCCUGGAGCUCAACUCCAGAACUGCCUUUGAUACUGGAAGUCUUGAGUUCGGGAGAGGUGAGUGGAACUGCGAGUGUAGAGGUGAAAUUCGUAGAUAUUCGCAAGAACACCAGUGGCGAAGGCGGCUCACUGGCCCGAUACUGACGCUGAGGCACGAAAGCGUGGGGAGCAAACA
RNAcentral lists this ribosomal RNA (402 nucleotides) under uncultured bacterium. Its description in RNAcentral is "bacterial SSU rRNA". It matches the Rfam family "Bacterial small subunit ribosomal RNA", at positions 355 to 774 of the family's 1533-position model. The record is from RNAcentral.